CGGGGCUGCGAGCCGCGCCCUAGGGCCGCGCCCCGGGCCGGGCCGGUGAGCAGGGACAGCACGGAGUCGUUAGAGGUGGAAGGGACCUCUGGGGAUCAUCGGUCCUAAGCCUCCUGCCAAGGCAGGGUCACAUGGAGCAGGAGAAUUUAGCAGAGAAGCAAAAUGCAGAAGGCUUUCAGACAACCAGUACAGAAUGCUGCAGGGAUUCUGGCUGCUCAUUGCCUUUCCACAGGAAUGCAUUACACACUAAGAUCCUCGUUUUGGGCUGCCAGUUUUGAGAACAGUUUGCAAAGACUGUGAUGAUGCAAGUUCUGAAUGAGUCCCUGGAGAUGACAAGAACUGUCUCAGUUUACUUUUGGUGAUGCUGACAUUGGUUUGCUCGGUUCUUUCCAUGCUUCUGGCAUAGGUGACUCCUGUUACUUGCUGCUUGAAAUGGGAAUUUGAAGAUCACCUUCACUUCAAAUUGUUUGCCUGGUUGGAGUGAUAACUGGAGAUCUCUACUUCAAAAUUCAGGGAGUCUUUGCAGUAGGUUAGUGAUAACUUUUUGCCUUCCAGCUCACUGCAGGAGCAGCCCAGCGAGGUUCUCAUAAAUUACAACAGGAAUUACUGAAUAGACAUGUUGUUUCCCUCUAGCAGUAUAUUCCACAGUACACUAUUCUUGUACAGAGUGGUGCAGUAUCUGGUUUACCACCAUUAGCUUUGUAUGAGGUGAAGGAGCCUGUGUUUACUACCAAAUGAAAGGAAAGCAUACACAAUUCUCCUUUUAAUUAAGCUUAGCCCUAUAAACUAUGAAAAGGGUUUUAUAUUAAGGCCAAAGUUCUAUUGUCGAGCAAGCAGGCUUCUAUUGUGCAUACUGCCAAGGAGAGAUAACAGGGCUCUUAUACGCUCAGAAAUUUGUCCUGCCAAGUGAGCAGCAGGUUUGUCUAAAACAUACCCAGCAUGUGCUGCCAGCCAGAGAAGGUUUGAACUUCACAUUGAUUUUUCUCAUUAAAUCUGCAGGCAGUGAAUGCACGUUGAUGGGUGCUUCCUCUGGUUACAGAAGACCCAAACAUGAACCUUCCAAACAAGGCUCAAAUGAAAAUUUUCAAAUGAAAAUGCAUCUAUCCAUCCUGACCUUACGGUAGUUUAGGCAGUGAGAAGAGUGACUGUAGCCAGCUUGUGGUGUCACUCCUGUCUUUUUGUCUGCAUCAGUGGAACUGGGUGUUCAUUAGGAACAAUCAUGAGGCAACUGCAAAGGAGAAAUUAAAACCCAAUUGUAAACCAGGUGGUGACAGAGGAGACAUGUCUUAGUCUUUAGUCUUACAUACUAAAGUUGAUUCAUUUGUUUAGGUUUAACAGUGUGAGGGAUAUUAGCAUUCCUAAAAGAAAACAGGAAAAUAAUAGGAGAGAGGAAUUUCAGAGGAAGAAAAAUCUGAUUAUUUUGAUGAUGAGAAAGAAAUUCUCAUCAAUCAAAAAAAAAUCUACAGCAUAAAAAAGAGAGUUCCUUUUUUUCCCCUUUUGUUUUGGUUCUGCUUUUUCAAUAACAUUUUUGUGUGUUGAAAUGAGUUUACGUUUGAGAGUGUGACCUCCCCUCUUCUCAUCACUUGUCUAAACAACCUUGAAAUGCGGAGGAUGUUUGAUAUAAAUUCCAAAUUCCCUUUUUGGGUUUAUGUCCUUUAUGAGGAUAAAUUAAUCCUUAAAGAAACCUGCCAUUUUGCAAAGUUUUGACCACACAAUUUAUAAUUAUUACUGUUAAUGAUGAUGGCAUUUUUUAUUUCAGGACAACCCUUUGCUUAAUAAUUAUUCCAAUUUCCUUGUACAGCAGCAUUAGUACUGCCUUGUUUAUGGACUCAGAAUAACACAGAUAAUCUGAGUUUGUUCAAACCUAAAAAGAAAUGAGAAAUUAGCUUUUUAAUAUAUAUUAAUGAAAUAUUUUACAAGGGGGAAAAGAAUGCAGUACUUGAUCAACAGCUUUGAUUUUCUAAUGAGGAGUAAUAAUAUAGUAAAUGCUUCAAAUUAGCAAUAACUUGUCAGGAUCUUAACUGCACCAAGAGGUGCUGAUUACCCUGACAUAACUAAUAGCUAAGAAACUAUCUUGAGGAGCAGAAACUGGAAAUAUGCACAAUGCAGCCUAUUGUAUCAGUUCAGCUAUUUUACCCUCCUUCUCAAUCAGUUCCUGUGGUUUCUUUAAAGAUUAUGGGUGCUCCUGCAGUACACCAGGAGGCUUUAGAAGUUAUUUUAGGGCAAUUAAAUGCAAAAGAAAAGGUCUAUACUAGGUCUACACUCUAAGGGUCUGCAGACAUACCUUCAUCACACAUAGACCAUGGAAUAAUAUAUCUCAUUUUCACAGUUAGAAAAAUUUUAAGAAUAGAUGAGAAUAAAAAAGUAAUAGAGUAGUAAGUUGUGAAGGUGUAGCUUAAAAAGAACUACCACUAGUUAUCUUCAGCAAAGGAAUCAGCAAAGUGAAGGUAUCUCUGCAGAGCAACCUUAAAGAGAAGCUACCAUGGUCAUAAUCUUUCUUAUGAUAUCAGGAGGGUGGUAAAAUGAAUUAGAAAAUACAUCUGAUGCUCUGGCAUAGACAAAAUAUCAUUUCACCAAAACCCAGAAGCAGUCAGAAAUCUCAUUUUGGUGUUAGAACAUAUUAAAAAAAAUUCUAAUUCAACUCUUCAAGCCUUGGUUGAAGUGAGUUUGAGCUAGUAGUGCCAAGUAAUCUCUUUCAGUAUGACAGGUGGCUGGAAUGGCGAUGUGGUCCCUGACCCCUGAUCCAGGUGUUCACGCAGUCAUUAGCAAGGGAAGAGCAGAGCCUGUGAGCAAUUUGGACUUUAUGUGAGCCACUGUUCUUGACUUAACUCCUGAGCAUGUGUCUUGACUGUAAUUUCUCUUCUAAAAAAGCUCAGAUGAACUGCAUCUUGGUGGGAAUAUCUCCUUUGGCUCCCACACGGAGAAUGGGAGCACUUGGUCAUCUGGGUGACCUAGAUCAUUGCAAUCCAAUAGCCUGAAAAGUAAGGAAAUCAGAACACUAGAAAUAAGAAAGGAUCUGGGAAACUGGGUCCCAAAUGAUUUGCACAGAGGAUGGGGAAAAAAUGUAACUACUGUCUGGCUUUAUCCUGCAGGAAGGGAAGGUUAACAAUCCUGUGGGGGUUCAAGGACUUCCAUCCAGAUGCAGAACUGCCUGGGUGUGUUAUCCCACAGCAACAGAAUGUUCAUAAUCUCUUAUUUAUUCCUGCAUGGGAGCAAGGACAUAAAGAUGUCUUUGAGGAGGACACCUGUGGCACACCUAUUCUUGGAUUUGUCACCCAUAAAAUAAGCUCACACUGAGGGCAGGUUGAUUGGUUUAUCUAGUCCAAGGGAAUAAGUAUGAUAGGUGAGUAAUCAGGCUCAGUGUACAUAAGCUGUGUUAGUGGCCUAUCAGGAGUGAAAUGUGGAAGAAAAAAGAAUGCAGAGAUUUUUGAAGAUAAGAUUACCUAAAUCCUACCUUAAAGCAAGACAUGCUACUCCCUGCUCUUAUCUUCAUGAAGGAUCUGUCUGCAGAUCAAAGAAACAAAAUCGUGCUUCAGCUUCCUUUCUUCAAGAUAAGCCAAAUUUUCAUUGCCUGUCCUCUAACAUGCACUGGCAUGCUGUACACUGCUUGCUUUUGUAUUUGCUUAUCAAAAGGUAUCAUGAGAUAAUUAAUGCAUAUAAGCUAGAGCUUUCCAGAAGAAAGAUUUUUUCCCUUUAUUCUCAAGUUCUUAAUAUCCCAAAGUUUUGUUCCAUGACCAUUCUGAGAACUUAUUUUUCAUGGGUAGCUGAAGGACACCACAGCAAGCACGCCUUCUAUUUCAUCUAUUUCCCACUGAGGCAAAUUACAAACUAAAAUCUUCCCUGUGUAUUUAAUCUAAUAUAAAUCUUAAAAUACAAUUGAGGGAAAGGAUGCAAUACAUUAUUUAAAGCUAAUUCAUUAACCUAUAGGUUAAUAGCAUUCAUACCCUUAAAAAAAUCACAGUUGGUAGGAAAUUCUGGGAGCAAAAUAACAUCUUUGGAAUAUUAGUUCUCUAUACAGGGGUCUUGCAAAACAGCAGACUACUUUUCAAAGGAAAAGGUGGAGAGCCCUCUGAAAACAUUGUAUGUGCAGUGAUUCCUGUACUGAAUCCUUUCCAGCGCUAGGGGCAGACCUAGAGCCCUUUUAGCUCCUGUUAGUGGGAGAGUUCACCCUGUGUGUGUGAGUCCUGCAAGCUCCUUCUCCUCCAUAAAACUCUUCCUUGUGCAUCCACAGCCUUCCUUUCGCUAGUUUUCCUGACAUUUCAAUAAGCUACCUCACAAAUGCAUCAGUUUUGCCAAGAAAGCAGUUAGGACUAGGCAGGGCCAGAUUACAAGGUGGUUAUGCCCUCCAAGUGCAUCUGAGUGGAGAAAGCAGGGAUAAGGCAGAAUACUCUGUUCCUAGUGUUUACCAGGCAGUAUAUGAUUAAAAUAGAUGUAAUUCUUGAUCAAAAAAGAAUCAAACAUAAUAUAUUUAAACAGGUGUUUCAUAAAUGUCAACAGCUUGAUUUUUAAUAAUGGAACUGAGGACAGAAUUAUCCCUCCUACCAGUAUGAAGCCCUCUAAGCAGGGCUCAGUUUCUCAAUGUUAGAGCUCCUUGUUCUCAGUACGAGUGGCUUCUUAGUCUCAGAAACAAAAUCAGCACUGUGGAUUUCAAAAUACUGUCUGGAAGGAGAUGCAAACAGGAACAGUGCAGAGAGGGUGAGGUACAUGCAUGCAAAUGUACAAUCACACCAUACCCAGCUCAGUAUGCUUAUGGAUGCCCAGUCACCAGCAAAAUUGCAUUUAAGUAAAAAUGUUGCAGCCAUUCUGUUAGGGAACAGAUAGAAUUUUCUUCUGCGUUGCAACUGCAGACAAUGUGCCUUUAAAUCAAUGUUAUUUUUAUUAAUUUUAUUAGUUUUCCUGCCUUUUACUUCCAAGAAGUCUGACUGUAGUCUCACUGCCAACGGAAUUGCUGAGGGUGAGGGAUGCAGAUUUUUUAGUUUUACUUUAAUGUUUUCAAAGGGGGGGUUCACUGGAAUAAAUGACAGUUGGAAAUACACUGAGGUUCUCAUGGGCUAAAUCCAUCUUCAUUCAGAAAGAAGAUUUCCUGUAUGCUGUGCUUGACAAACAUAUUACACUAAAUCAGUACCCUGAUCCCACCCAAAUUCCAAUACCACUGUGCAUACUUUGUCUGUCUUACUUUAUGAAUCACUCAAUAAAACACACCCAGUUCAAGAUUUUAUUGGCAAUGUUGCAGUGUACGUACAUUAAAUCUCAUUUUAGACAGAAACCUUGGAACCUGGAAUAUUGCCAGUGCUUGAAUCCAAGAAGAAUUUGAAAUGCAUAAUGUAAAGCUUCUUAAUAUACCUGACACCCCUUAACUGUUCCCACAGUUAAAAAAUAUUACAGCUUACAUUUGUAUCUCAACCAGGCACCCAGGAGGUCAAGCCCUAUAUGAUGAUAGAAAAGGAAAUAAUCAUUUUUAUAUCAAGUGAGCAAAGCUGAUUUGGAAAUUAUUGAGAGCUCAGUCAGGAGCUGCUUUAGGGCUGUAAUUGCUCUUUCUCAUCUUAGCUAAUUUAAUUAAACAGAGAAACUAUUUUUGGACCAGACAGCUCUUUAAACUUUUGGUAGCUUCUAUUACAAACCAUCUGGCCCCGUACACAGUUAGAUUUCUUAACUCAUACUUUAUUCACUGUCUUCCUCAGAAAUUGUACGUGGGGCUUUGUGUGUAUUUGUAUUCCCUCUAGUUUUGUGUCCGUUUAUUUCAGAUAAAAAACCUAAUUAUGUGGAUUCCCUCCCAGUUCAAGAGAUAAAAACCAGCACGUGUCAAGAACCAUCAUUCAGUUCUUCUCUUUAUUUUGGGUAGGUUUUUGGUGGUUGUUUCCUCUGUUAUAUAAUCCUUUCCUCAUAGUCUGUAAUCCUUUUCUAACACUGCAAAUAAGAUAAGCAUUUAGUCUUUUCAGAUGUUGUCAGCCUCCACUUUGAGAGGAACAACAGUUUUAGUUUUAAUUAUUUCUUCAGUGAAAGGACUUCUGCUGUAUUUUGCAUUUAUUUAACUAAUCUCCAAAUGUUGUGCUACAGUUUGUCCAUACCUCUGUCUACACGAAGUGUAAUUACACAGUUGCUGAUUGGGUUGGAGCAGAAACAGAAUGAGUUCACAUCUGCCCUCAAAAGACUGAACAAACACACACAUCUGAAGGCUGCCUCCUCCAGAGGUCUAAAAUACACGUGUGUAACUGACCCUGAAAUUCAGUGUUCUUCCUGCGAGAGCCAGGGUUAUCUAAACAAAGGGUUCUUAGGAAGUAACCUCUCGACUUCUCCACCCCUCACAUUUUUAAGGAUUGACAGGUCCUAGCAAUUGCAAAGACCGGGAUAACAAGCCAUGUCCCAAAACAAUCAUUCUCCUGACAUGCUUCCCACUGGCACCUACCACCCUUCAGAUCAGCAGAAAAAGAGCUUGGCUGCCUGCAUAGGCAUGUACCCAGUCCUCCCUGACUAAAUGGAUUACACCGUUGUUGGCUGAAUAGGCUGCCAAGACAACUUCCAGCCAGCUUGUAUUCAUGUGGGUUAUGAAAGAGUGCUACUCCUGAGUCAGACCAAAGUCCAGUUAAAAUAUGACAAAGGUGCCAGACUCCACUUCUGCCAGGAUUUAGGUUUUGUUUCUGUUUUAUUUUGGAAAAAUGCAACAUGAGUAUAAGAAAUUAAGCAAGAAGGUUCAAAAACUGUCAACAAGAUCAGAAUUAAAUGUGCUGUACACAGCAGCUUACUGAGAGGAGUUUGGGAUGGAGGAGAGUGGGGAGAACCGGGACUGAAGUAAGAAAAGAAAGGAUCUUAGGAAGGGACCAGUUGGAGAGAUGUGAAAUUCAAGGAAAAGGAGGUUUGGGAGCAGUGAUAAUUCAGUCCCAUUUGUCCCUUUGAGAUAAUGUUUUGGGAUCCCAAUAACUCAUCUCUGGUUCAGAAGAAUGUGAGCCAUCAGCUUCUAUGUGCCAAUAUCUAAGUAGAUCUAAAGAGAUGCAAAUUUAGACUCAGUAGACCAGGAAGCAAAGGAGUGAAUAAAUGCAAAUAUAUUAAUCUGAAUAUCAGGCUAGGUAUUUCCAGGCAGGGAUUAGUUGGGUGGGGAAGGGAGACUGUGUGGGCUGAGGAAAGGCUGGAGAGCCUGGCUGGCCCAAGGGCUAAUCUGACAGAGAGGGUCUGGCCUGGCACACAACUGAGAGCUGGCACAUUAGGAACCAUACAUUAGAUUGCUACUGUCAUAUAUGUAAUGGCAUCAGAUGGCAAAAAAUAGCACAGAUUUUUUUUUUGCUGCAUUUUAUUUUAUGCACUAAUUGCCAUCUCAGGCCUCAAGCUGUGUCAAACACAUCACUUUGCUUCUUUUGUUCUCUGUUUCUUUACCUGUAAAAUGAGAAUAAUUUAUUUCCUUUCAAAAUGAUUUGGAGAUCUAAGAUGAAGGGUUGGGGGAUAAAUGUACCUACUACAAUAGCAUCACAGCUGCAUAUAUAAAGGGUUGCUAGAAUUUCUUGAAAUUGCCAAGAUUCACCCCUUUUUUCUCUUAUCAAAGCAAACAAAACCAAAAUAUCAAACCAAAUACAAACAAACAAAUGCUUACCCCCUCAAAAAAGAAACAAACAAACAAAAACACUAAAACACACACAAAAAAAUCAAGAAAUUAUCCCCCAGGCAAUUCAGUGAGGAGAAGAUUCAGUUUCUUGUUGCUCAGUCUUGUUCUCUUCUGAUAUGACAGUGAGAUAGACACCUCUGAGAACCAGGAAAUUCAGAGCUAAGGUAGAGCAGUACAACCUGAACUCUGUGUUGUUUGAUCACUGAUUCACUCUUCCUGUAACAUACAUAUGCAUGACACCACGACUCCUGAAGGAAAACUUUCUUUUAAGUGUUCUUAAAGGAAAACCUCUGUCCAGGUGAGUGCUGCUAAAUGAGGAAUCCUGCACAUAUGCUGCAAACUCUGAGACCCAUCUCCUUGAAACAGCCUCUGAUGCAGUAAUUCUUUGUGUUCUUUCACUGUCAGCUUCAGCACCUGAAGGGUCAGAUACAGAGACUUUCACGUCACUGCUACUGAGAUGACAGAUCACUCUUUCUUUGGUCUUUGGCCAAAGGACUUGUGGAUAUCACCACUGAUCAUGGUCUGAAUUGAAAAAUCAGGCAUCAGGACUUGUCUCCUCACUUCCAUGCUUCUCUUCCUUUUGUCCACAUGGUUGCUAUCUCCAUGCCACCAGUGUAAGAGAUUUGCUUGCAAGUUAAUGCAAAGAGCCACUGAAAGUUCCCGGAGCAGCCUUAAUUCUGCACUGGGAUGUGGGUAUUUCCUAGUUUUAAGAGGUUUGAGCGUCACUUGAACUUGCCACAGAAUUUGCUGCUGACCUGGAAUGACACGAGGAACCCACAAGGCAAACUUUAUAUUAACCAGGCUCUUUGUCAGCAAAUUUAUGUGUUAAUUUAUUCAUGAUUGGCAUAAUGUGUGUUUAAAAUCCUUCUGCAAGGCCUUCUCUGAGAGCAGUGGUAGCUGAACUUUAACGCAAAGGUUUGCCAGUAGUCACCAGCUCAAACUCUUGCCCAGGAAACGUGAUGCACAUUAAAAACGUGCCUCAAUGCACGUAAAAUUUAAAAACUUUUGCAACCUCAAGGAGUAUAGAUAUAUUAAAAAAACCCAACCCAAACCAAACAAAACCCCACCCCUCUCCAGUAUUUUUAUUGGUGAGGGAAAAAAAAAACAAGAGUAGGGAAGGGAAGAAAAAGAAAGGGAAAUGGAAAGGGAAAGGGAAAGGGAAAGGGAAAGGGAAAGGGAAAGGGAAAAGAGAAGAAAGGAAAUAUUUUAUGAUGAACACUUCUUUUUCGCAGAAAUGCUUUACUAUAUUUUCAAAUGCAAAUUGACUGCAAAUCACAGACUUCAGCCAGUGGGUUUUUGUAUGUAUCCAUACAUAUUAAAGGUAUGUGUGUGCUUAUGUGUGUAUAUGUAUCUUAAUUUGUAUAUUUAGUGGUGGGCCAAAUUUGGUUAAACACUCUGUAAAGAACAAAACAAUGGUCCAGAAAGCAAAGAGCAAAUGGUUGAACCAUCAAGGACAACACAUGCAGGCAGAUGGAAUCCUGGGGGUGGCCAAAAAGAUGAUGAGUCAGGAUUACUCAAGAGGAUAAGCAGUGGCCUUUGUGCACCAGCAGUCUAACCCUGAUCCAUUUCUUGAUAGGCUUUACAGGAAAAGAGAGUUUGGAGCAAUCCAAAGGAGGAUAGAGAGAUCCUGUGCAGAUAUUUAUGGGAAGCUCUUCCCACACAUGAAUGUAGCCUGGGAGAAAUGCAAAGCAAGUUAAUAUAUGGACAUUGAAAGCUGACACUAUCUGAUCAGACCUGCUUCUUCAAGCAAAUGAGCAAAAAUAGAUAAUAAUACCUUAGAUAAUAAAUAAAAACACAUGGGUGAGUUCCAUGUGCAGCAGUGUUUUUGAGCCUGAGGUCCUUAAACCCGGAACAGUUUUAAUUGAAAAGAUGUCACAAAUCAAAGUACAGAAUUGUUGUUGCAAGUAUGUCUAGGUGGAUGUUGGGUAUCUUGUGUUUAAUGUGCCAGUUUGAAAGGAUUUAUGUAGUACCUUAUGUAAAUACUAUACUUUUACUUGAUGGAAAUGUCUUGCUGAUUGCUAUGGACUUUUUUGAGAUAUAUCAUGUAGAUAACAAUGCAGGUGUCUUUUAUCACUUGCAAAGGUGUCUUUUAUCACAAGAAUAAAAGUCAAGUCUUCCUUUUGUAUCCUUCCAUCCCUGCUUGAAGCAGUGGUGAAGCGUUUGUAGUGUGAGAAUGUGAGUUUAUCAUUCUUCAGUUCUUUACUUCCCAGUACCUGUAAGGGUACUUAGGCUGACUAUGAGAAGUCCAGCACAAAAUCUGCUAGAAUGUUUUGGCAGGUGUUAUAUUACUUGCUCCUUAACACGUCUUGUCUAAUAAAAGAAGUCUGUCGUGAAAAUUUUC
Molecule: long non-coding RNA, 9935 nt
Organism: Prinia subflava (tawny-flanked prinia)
Lineage: Eukaryota; Metazoa; Chordata; Aves; Passeriformes; Cisticolidae
Exons: 3
Source: RefSeq, a predicted model, not a curated record